AGGGUUUGAGCUGAAAUUUCUACUAAAAAAUCAAGAUAUGGCUCCAAUUAUUACUGUGAAUAAAAUCACGUACUUAUUACCUUUGAUUUAGAUGCAUUGAUUUCAACCUUCUAUAAUUUCUUCAUCCAAACUCCAAAUUCAUCAAACAUCAUAUGAAAAGUAUGGUUGAAAAAGUGCUAUCUCCAAUCUUAGACACUGAUCCUUUGUUGCUCUCCGUAAACAUAUGUUAUACUCCAAAUAAAGAUAGUAGAUAUGAAAUUGAUACCUUAACUUUGAGUGCCAAUAACUCCUUCAUAAAAACUCCAAAUUACACAAAAUUUGCACCCAAUCCAUAUCCAAAAACCUAAACUUGCUGACUUUAGCUUCAAAAGCUCAAAUGACCUUGAAAAAAAAACCCUAAUCUCUAAUAAGGCCUCGGGCAGCCUUCUUGAAGCCCAUUGGGCAUGGCCUUCGACCAAUAGGAAUAAAGAUCCCUAUUCCUUGCCUUCAU
RNAcentral lists this long non-coding RNA (490 nucleotides) under Physcomitrium patens. RNAcentral describes it as "long non-coding RNA (PPAT_LNC014008)". Lineage: Eukaryota; Viridiplantae; Streptophyta; Bryopsida; Funariales; Funariaceae. The record is from RNAcentral.